Molecule: RNA transcript, 1517 nt
Organism: Nicotiana tabacum (common tobacco)
Lineage: Eukaryota; Viridiplantae; Streptophyta; Magnoliopsida; Solanales; Solanaceae
Source: RefSeq, a predicted model, not a curated record
UAAAAACUACAGGGGUACAAGUGAAAAAUGAAAACAUGUUGGGGGCACUAGUGACAUACAAUUUUCUUCUGAUGCAGUUGACAUUUUUUUAGCUAAAAGAGAAGCCAAAACCCUUUGGAAUCGCCUAAAACCCCCUACAAAACGCAGAUUAUACUUAUAAUUUUUCACUCUUUUGUGUCCUAAAUAAAUCUUCUAAAAUCCCAUUCAUUCAUUUUUGUCGUACAUUUUCAUCUUGAAGUUGAAAAGGGGAGAAAAUGGCACUGGGUUUGCUACUGGGUAUAGGGAGAGCUUUCAGAAAGAAGAGCACAGCGUCUCUUGACAUUCUAACUGCUAAAACAGGUCCAAGAAAUUUCUAUAAAGGAAAGAAUUGCAAGCCCACUGGUUUUCAUACUCGUAAAGGUGGUUAUGUUCUUGUGCAAGGAAAACUACCAAAUUAUGUAGUUCCAAAUUUGAGGGAUUUUCAGCUUGGUGCACUAGAUUCCCGCUAUGCGCGGGAUUUGGGGAAGGGUAGGACCACAAAGGUCUAUGGUACGUAGGACCACAAAGGUUGUUUCCACGGCUCGAACCCGUGAUCUCUUGGUCACAUGGCCGCAACUUUACCAGCUGAAGCCAUACGUAUCUCAGUGUGCUAGAGAAACUCAAACUAUGGGUGCUGCUGAUGCUGCUAAAUGAUUCUUUCAAAAAGCUGAGUGGGAUGUGCUUACUCAAACAACUAUUACUAAUCUUCCUUUUGUGCUUCAGAUUUUCAAUGUGCACCUAGUUUUCGAAAUGCAAUUUCCUGUUUUAUAAGCUCAUUCCUUUUGCACAAAGUGUUGCAUUUAGACGGUGUCAUCAGCCAACUCCUUGUUCUUUUUCUUAGACCACACUCUCUGUGCAUGUAUUUGGUACUUGGAAAUGGCGCAGGUGCUAUGCGAGAACAAUUAGGCGAUCUGGAUUUAUGAAUUAUAAUAGAGUAGUCAUUGUUAAAAUGGAAACAAUUGGGGGAAGAACACACAGGGAAUGAAUGGAAGAACAAAAAGUUAGUAGAAGAAAGGCCUUUUAAUGUAUUUAGUGAAGGUGUUCAUCUAUUUGUAUGAAUCUUCUGUCAUUUUGUAAGUUUCAAGCCUUUAUAGGUCUCUGGUUCAAGCCGUGGAAUCAACCACUGCUUGUAUAAGGGUAGACUUAGUAGAAGAAAGGCCUUUUAAUGUAUUUAGUGAAGGUGUUCAUCUAUUUGUAUGAAUCUUCUGUCAUUUUGUAAGUUUCAAGCCUUUAUAGGUCUCUGGUUCAAGCCGUGGAAUCAACCACUGCUUGUAUAAGGGUAGACUUAGUAGAAGAAAGGCCUUUUAAUGUAUUUAGUGAAGGUGUUCAUCUAUUUGUAUGAAUCUUCUGUCAUUUUGUAAGUUUCAAGCCUUUAUAGGUCUCUGGUUCAAGCCGUGGAAUCAACCACUGCUUGUAUAAGGGUAGACUUUGUAGACUGCAUACGUCACAUCCUCUUGGGUUGCAGUUUCAUCUCGGCACUUUUCUCUGUUUCUUUUUAA